AGACCGUGCGCGCAAGUUUGAGGAGGUCCACGGGCACCACAGCCCCGGGACAGCGCUUCUCCAGGAACUCUUGGAAGCCCUGUACGCCCAUGCUUCGUCGGCGGGCAGACGAGACGGCGGCUGCGCGAACAAGCUAGGCGACGAAGUGGAGAAGCCUCUUCCGUCCACCUCCGGGAGCCAUGUUGCCUCGUCUUCUCGAUGAACCCCCUUUCUACCACCUUCUCUACUUCAUCUUCGUGGCUGCAGCAGGAGCUAUUCUUUAUUUACAUUUCCAGAGAAUUUGGGAUUGAGCUUGAGGAGGAGGAGAUGAAAAGUCCUAGCUAUAUGCAAGCACGUGAUUUGUUCCUAAAGCCCAUCUGCAGUAUCCCUGGGUUUUGUGAAACACUGCCAUCUGAAUAAUAAAUUCCUUUUGGCUUAA
This is a long non-coding RNA of Pteropus alecto (black flying fox), 418 nucleotides long. RefSeq lists it as uncharacterized. NCBI's taxonomy places the organism in Eukaryota, Metazoa, Chordata, Mammalia, Chiroptera, Pteropodidae. The record is from RefSeq and is a predicted model, not a curated record. The transcript is spliced from 3 exons.